GCGAACGCUGGCGGCAGGCCUAACACAUGCAAGUCGAGCGCCCGUAGCAAUACGGGAGCGGCAGACGGGAGAGUAACACGUGGGAACGUACCCUUCAGUUCGGAACAACCCAGGGAAACGUUGGGCUAAUACCGAAUACGUCCGUAAGGAGAAAGAUUUAUCGCUGAAGGAUCGGCCCGCGUCUGAUUAGCUAGUUGGUGGGGUAAUGGCCCACCAAGGCGACGAUCAGUAGCUGGUCNGAGAGGAUGAUCAGCCUCACUGGGACUGAGACACGGCCCAGACUCCUACGGGAGGCAGCAGUGGGGAAUAUUGGACAAUGGGCGCAAGCCUGAUCCAGCCAUGCCGCGUGGAUGAUGAAGGCC
This 362-nucleotide ribosomal RNA is filed under the name uncultured bacterium. Its description in RNAcentral is "bacterial SSU rRNA". It matches the Rfam family "Bacterial small subunit ribosomal RNA", at positions 29 to 416 of the family's 1533-position model. The record is from RNAcentral.